AGCGGCCCAGGGGCGCUUCCAGCUCGUCUCCAACCUCUCGGUCGGGCUCAUCUUCUUCCUGGGUUUCACUGUCCUCUACGGCCUCAAGUGACAGCAGGGCUGGGCAGCCACCGGGGCACCCACCCAGCCCCACUGCUGCGGCGGGACGGAGUGUCACCAGUGGGCAUGGCGUCUGGCUGGGGGAUGUCCCCUGCACCCACGCAGUUGGCAGGCACCGUGCGCGGGGUCUGCUCCUCAGGCUGUGACAUUUCCCCUCUGUCGGUGUGACCUUCAGAGAUGGCGCGCAACCGGCAGGCUCCGUGUGUGGGCUCUGCUCUGUGGGCUGUGACCUGACCCCUCGGCCGGUGUGACCUUUAGACACGGAGUGCAACUGGCAGGCACAGUACGUGGCUGUGAUGUGACCUCCACACAAGUGCGACCUGCAGACAGCGUGUGACCACUGGAUACCACGUGUGGGCUCUGCUCCGCAGGCUGCGAUGUGCCCCCGCUGCCAGCGUGACCUUGCAGAUGUGGUGUAGGGGCUCAACAGGCUGCGAUGUGCCCCCUCUGCUGAUACGACCUGCAGACACAGUGCCUGACAGGGCUUGCCUCGCUGUGUGGCGAGUACAGAAGUCUUUCCUUCAGCAGCCUGGAAGAAUGAAGCCUGGGCCCGUGGCGGCUCAUGUCCUGGUCAGCAUACAACAUCGCCUGGAGGUACUGCCCAAAACAUUUCUGUGUUCAGAACAGCCUGCCCUGUCUAGGGCUUGCCCGGAACUUUGCACAAGACAAUCCCACACAGGCCUUCGUGGCUGGGAGUGGUACACUUCUGACACUGAGUGGCAUUACUUGUGUCUAAGCAUCAUUUGCACAUAAAAGUAUUUGCCUAUUUAAGUAUUGAAGUGCUUUAAGAACUAAAGAUUGUGUCUCUCAGAGCUUCUGACUUUCCUUGGGUGAAGAUUUUACCUGUGCUAUGCUGGUACUACACGGAGUGAGUGAAGCUUCAUGGUAUUGAACUCCGUGCCAAAGACUUCAUCUGCAUUACUUCGCACUGGAUUUGCUGGGCCUGGCUGGCAGCAGUCUGCGCAGGAGCCAAGCCCUCACCCCUCACUGCAGUGACCCUGGGUUAUGUUUUCUCUCAACACAAAAACGUUAAAAGCAAAUGCCCCGUGUUUUCCAGCUGCAGAGUUCUGUGAUACUGAACUGAGCCUGAGGCGGUAGCGUGGCAGGGAGUGUUAAUGUCUACUGGUACUGGGUAUAUGCUGUACAGGAGAGCUUUCUGCCUUUUCUGGAAAGCAUUGUACCACUUCCAGCUGCAGACUCCGGAGACUGCUGCGUGUUUGGAGCAAAUUCAGCCCAGGGGCAGAGAGAGAGCUUUCCAGGAUCCUCUCUGGCUGUCAGUCCAUCCGUCUGUGUGGGAUUAUAGUGCUGAAAUGUCAGCAUGUGAAGAGCAGGAGCCUGGCGUUCAAGGGCAUUGGUUACAGAGUGAAAACCUCUGGAGUUGCGGCUCUGUGUCACAUGCUGAUGCAUUUUCGUGCUAUAAACCAAGUCACUUGAAAGACCAGAGGUGGCUUCUUUGGCAGAGUUUGGCAGGAAACGUUCUCUUCCAGGCUGGAAAAGCUAGGGAUGUCCAUGGGAAGCAGUGGGUACUAGGGAGCACCUCUCUAGUUCCUGGUGUCGUGGCUUGCAGGUUUUAAGACAGCCCUGCCCAACACGAGGUGUCCUCUGGAUUGAUCUUUCUUAAAUCUGUGUAGUGCUGAGGCCUGGGGCUGUGGGCUGUUCCCGCGGGCAGGCUCUGUACGCAGCCCUGAGCCAGCUUCCUGGCAGAGAGAGGGUCUGGUGCAGUGCAGUGUGGAGCAGGAAGAACAGGCUAGCUGGUGUGCUGCCUGCAUUGCUUUGCCCCCUAACACCGGGACAGGGAAGAGCUGCUCCAGUAAGCCGGCUGGGCUGACUCUCCUGCUCUGUGUCUGGUGCUUGUGUCUGAAAUUGGGGGGGUGAAGUACGCAGGCACCAAAACCGAGCUAAUCCACAUGCAUUUCAAUGGGUGGUUUGGGCAGUUUAUAUUACUGGUUCUUCCUCUUCUUGCUCAGGUCUCCAUGAUGUAGCUUGAACAUAAAAGAUAUCCAGCC
Pygoscelis adeliae (Adelie penguin) is the source of this 2105-nucleotide long non-coding RNA. RefSeq lists it as uncharacterized. The transcript is spliced from 2 exons. The record is from RefSeq and is a predicted model, not a curated record. NCBI's taxonomy places the organism in Eukaryota, Metazoa, Chordata, Aves, Sphenisciformes, Spheniscidae.